This 345-nucleotide unclassified non-coding RNA is filed under the name uncultured fungus. Its description in RNAcentral is "sequence contains 5.8S rRNA gene". The record is from RNAcentral. Lineage: Eukaryota; Fungi.
GAACGCACAUUGCACUCUGUUUCGGCAGAGUAUGCCUGUUUGAGAAUCUAUAGUAUUCAUUUUCCUAGUCUAUUGUUUUUCAGUGGACUUUGAAAGAUUUGAGGCAUUGCUCUUACCCAGCGCGCCUUUAAAACUAUAGCUGCUUGUAUGGUAGUAGUGUUUGACACUCUAUUUGAAUGCCGAAAUGUAUUGAAUAACCGCAAGGUUUCUCUAUGCAAAUUACGUGUUUGUAGGGUUUAGCUGCUGCAGUAAAGGCACCCAACUAUUAAAGACUAGUGUCUCUUUAUGAGGUGUUAGUCUUGAACCAUGGUCUCAAAUCAGGUAGGAAGACCCGCUGAACUUAAG